MUGCCUUACACAUGCAGUCGACGGCAGCACGGGUGCUUGCACCUGGUGGCGAGUGGCGAACGGGUGAGUAAUACAUCGGAACAUGUCCUGUAGUGGGGGAUAGCCCGGCGAAAGCCGGAUUAAUACCGCAUACGAUCUACGGAUGAAAGCGGGGGACCUUCGGGCCUCGCGCUAUAGGGUUGGCCGAUGGCUGAUUAGCUAGUUGGUGGGGUAAAGGCCUACCAAGGCGACGAUCAGUAGCUGGUCUGAGAGGACGACCAGCCACACUGGGACUGAGACACGGCCCAGACUCCUACGGGAGGCAGCAGUGGGGAAUUUUGGACAAUGGGCGAAAGCCUGAUCCAGCAAUGCCGCGUGUGUGAAGAAGGCCUUCGGGUUGUAAAGCACUUUUGUCCGGAAAGAAAUCCUUGGCUCUAAUACAGUCGGGGGAUGACGGUACCGGAAGAAUAAGCACCGGCAAACUACGUGCCAGCAGCCGCGGGUAAUACAA
This 490-nucleotide ribosomal RNA is filed under the name bacterium SNB-CN34. Its description in RNAcentral is "bacterial SSU rRNA". It matches the Rfam family "Bacterial small subunit ribosomal RNA", at positions 44 to 528 of the family's 1533-position model. The record is from RNAcentral.